Molecule: transfer RNA, 77 nt
Filed under: Pseudobdellovibrionaceae bacterium
Lineage: Bacteria; Pseudomonadati; Bdellovibrionota; Bdellovibrionia; Bdellovibrionales; Pseudobdellovibrionaceae
Description: Bdellovibrionaceae bacterium (activated sludge metagenome) tRNA-Gly
Rfam family: tRNA
About the family: Transfer RNA (tRNA) molecules are approximately 80 nucleotides in length.
Source: RNAcentral
GCGGGAGUAGCUCAGUUGGCUAGAGCAUCUGCCUUCCAAGCAGAGGGUCGCGGGUUCGAGUCCCGUUUCCCGCUCCA